AUCCAAAAAUAAAUAAAUAAAUAAAUAAUAAAAGAAUUUAUAUCAUUGAACGCCAUAUAUAUAUAAUAUACUAUCAUCUCAACAUGUAGUGAAUAUAGAAAAUUUUAAUGAGAUCACUUUACAUUCUUUAUUUUCAUACUGAGUUUGAAACCUGGUAUGGGUUUUACUUCUGAGGCACAUGUCAGUUCAGACCAGCUACAUUCAAUUGCUCAACAGAUGCGUGUGUCAAGUGGCCAUCAUAUUGGACAAAACAGAACUGGAUGACCUGAACAUUCCUUCUCAUUCAGAUGACUUCUGAUCUCAUGAUAAUGCCUCUGUAUUUACCUGACACCAGACUGUCCAUCACUAGGCUGUUCCUACCUGCUCACCAGGAGGUGCAACACCACAUUCUGCCCAGCCAAGCUCUCCAGACAGUGCUUCAUCACCCAGGGGUGACCCCAAUAUUCUCUGGAUAUGAUGUUUGCAAAGCUUGGACUUCCAAACCACACAGGGUCUUGCUCCAGUGUCCAUCUCAGCCCAAAGUAUGAAAACUUUGGUUUCAAAGUCUGGGCUUCCUCACUGCCCAACUCAAAACUUCUCUUCUGAGGCAACCCCUAGACUUGCAAACCAGAGCAGACACUGAAGAACAGGAGUUAGAAGCCCGCAUACGUGGCAGUCUUUUUCUCGGGCAAUUCUGUGGGCAUUUGCUUCAUGCCCAGCAUGAGGCCAGCACUGUGCCAAACUUGGGGACACCAAAAAAAGCAAGAUGAUAGUCAUGUCUUCCCUUUAGACCCUAACCCUGACAUGCACGUAGUAAACAAUGGAAGGAUGACCUGCAACAAUACACAUUAAAGUGUUAAACUGGAUCCUGCACCAUCAGAAGCCAUAUUAGUCAGGGUCUCAGCAGGAAACAGAUGGCACAUUCAAGCUGGGUAAUUGAGGAGAGUUUAAUGACAGUACUGUUUUAAAAUACAUGGGAAGGGUUUGGAGAAAGUCACAAGAGAUAACAUGCACCACUACCCUAGGCCUGAAGAGGCUGGGAAAAGAGACAUUGAGAAGGCAAAGAGGACAUCUGCAUGGGGAAGUCCACUUAGCAAGAGCUGUAGCAACCGGAAGAAACCCCACAGGGAAUGUGUUCUCCCAGCUCAAUCUCCUGUCCCCUCAGAUCUUCUUUUGCUUCAUCCCAUUGGCUAAACCCAACCUAAAGCAAAGUGAAGGGAGCAAAGGUAGGUCAGCCUCCCAGCACAGAACAGGGAAGGCCAGAGGUGGAGACACCAAGAGAAGACAUCCAGCCCAGGGACCAGGAUGUGAGCAUCACAGGUGGUAAGUGCAGGGAGAUCAGGGUAGAUGUGGGGCUGGGGGCAGGUUCUAGUGGAGGCAGGACUAGACCUGAGUCCUGGCAGAUGAGUAGGCUUUCAGAAAAUAAGGAAGGAGAACCCUUCAGCUUGGACAGCAGGGUCAAGGGAAGAAGGCCUGAACAAACUCAAACAGGUGCAUGUGAGUUGGCCCUCAGGGAUGGAGUGGACAUGAUAAACCUCUGCUGGGACCUAAAGUCCUUCCCUUACCAGCUCCAAGAUCACAAAAUCCAAGCCUUCCUUCCUGGGACAGUGGACUUGAAUGUGGCCCCCUAAAAGAGGGCAACGUCUUCAUGGAGAAUGGAUAAGAGUUGAUGCUUGAUACUUUUAUAGUGAGGCCUGAGAGAUGGCAAAGCAAAAGAUGGGUUUCAUGGUCUAGUACCGAAGGGUAUGGUUACAGGCUCUAGAUAUAACCCAAGAGAAUAAAGGUCCAAUAAGCAUCAGAGUCAUAACUAGAACAGUCUCAAAUAUGCAUAUGGCAUCUUACAUGAGGUCUUCAUGUUUGAUUAUCUUAGUGAUAAAAAGGAUCAGAAGGAAGUUGGGGAGAGAGGUAAUGAGCACAAUGAGUACCAAAUACGUGCCAGAGAUUGUAUAUAGCAUCAUACACUGUGUGUGUCCACAAUCCCAUUCUCCCCUUUAUACAGAGAAGGACAGUAAGGACCAAAGGAAUUGAAUGAUUUGUCCAAGGUUGGAGAGCCAUAAAAUGGAAUGGGACUGGGUCCCAAUCUCUGAUUCUAUAUCUCUGUGUACUUUUCCCACUCAUAAAAUAGUGUGAGGACAAUGCAAGCCAGCAUUAAAUGAGACCCUGGACCCUCAUUGCUUUACAAGAGUUCAGAGCACUGGGUGAUUAAGGCACCAUUAUUACAGGGAUCAGGACAGAAUCUGGGCUGUAGACAAUCAGUACCGGAGCUCAGAGAAUGGUGGUAGCCUGAAAGAGCAGAUGAGAGGAUGCACAGGGCAGAUGCAGGACUUGAGCUGAGAUCGCUGCCCACCCAAGUCAGGUUUCCAUGGAGACCAAACUCCCUUUUCUGGGAGCUGUGAUCCACUCUCUUCCACAGGCCACAACCGAGAGCCCAUUGCUGCCCAGCCUGAGGCUCACAAUCCAAAUUUCUGUCCUAUGCAGUCCGACAGUUCAAAAAUGAAAUUUCAAGUGUACAGGGAGGUAUAUUGGGCUUAAAUUUAGAGUCUGUGUGUCUGAUCAGCCAACAGAAUGAAAUAAAGCGUAAGCUCUGGGUUACUACCCCAGCCAUUGAGUAUGGAGAGGGGCAGGGACAUACAUGUUCUACCAAAAUUCAAAUAUAAUGUUUGUUAGGAUAGCCUUUCUGGUCCGUAACAUCUUUGGUUGGAAAAUGCAGUCAUCAUUUCUUAUGUGGGCUGUGUCUGUAAGAGAAAAGCACCAGAUGGGAAUGGGUCAGCCAGUGUUCCUGAUGAAUUCAUGACUGAAUUAGCAAAUAUGGUUUGUUGGAGCCAAUGUGAUUUGGUAUUUAAAUGGGGUUGGGAGUCAGUGAUGGCAACAAGAGAAAAGAGAAUAAAUGGAUCAAAGGACAGCCUCUACAAGGCACGAAGGAAGAGCAGGAAAGUUGCAGCAUUUGAUGGGCUGGAAAAGCCACUGUCCAAGUCUCUGAUCACACCCUGUGCACAUUAGAAUCCCUGGGGUAUUCUGAAUUGGUCCAAUGUCUGGACCCCACCCAUGGAGAUUCCAAUUUAGUGGUCUGAGAUGGAGCUAGAAAAGAAUAGGAUUUUUCCCCUUUUUUAAAUUGAAGCAUAGUUGAUGCACAAUAGUAUACAAGUUAAGGAUAUGCAACAUAGUGGUUGACAAUUUUUAAAUGUUAUACUCCACUUAUAGUCAGUAUAAAAUAUUGUCUCUAUUCCCUGUGCUUAUUUUAUACCUAAGAGAUUGCACCUCUUAAUCCCCUACCUCUAUCGUGUCUCUUUCCCCUUCACUCUCACUGGUGACCACUAUCUCUGUGAUUCUCUUUCUUUUUUAUUAUAUUCACUAGUUAGUAUUUUUUAGAUUUCACAUGUAAGUGAUAUCAUACAGUGUUUGUCUUUCUCUGUCUAACUUUUAUUUCAUUUAUCACAAAACCCUCCAAGUCCAUCCAUGUUAUUGCAAAUGGCAAAUGUUCAUUUCUUUUUAUGGCCGAGUAGUACUCCAUUAGAUAGAUAGAUAGAUAGAUAGAUAGAUAGAUAGAUAGAUAGAUAGAUAGAUAGAUGAUAGAUAGAUAUGGAGAUAUACACCAUAUCUUCUUUAUCCAGUCAUCUGUUGAUGGACACUUAGGUUGCUUCUAUAUCUUGGCAAUUGUAAAUCAUGCUGCUGAGAACAUUAGGUGCAUGUAUCUUUUCAAACUAGUGGUUUUGGUUUUUUGGAUAUAUUCCCAGGAAUGGAACUGCUGGGUCAUAUCAUAGUUCUAUUUUUAGUUUUUCAAGAAACCUCUAUACUAUUUUCCACAGUGACUGCCCCAAUUUAUAUUCCCACCAACAGUAUACAAGUCCCCCCGCCCCAUCCUCACCAACAUUUGCUCUUUGUGUUCUUUUUGACGGUGACCAUUCUGACAGGUGUGAGGUGAUAUCUCAUGUGGUUUUGAUUUGCAUGUCCCUGAUGAUUGGUGAUGUUGAUCUUCUCAUGUGCCUGGAAAUUAAUACUUUUUAAGAACACAAGUGCUGCCAGAAUUGGAAAAUACUGCUGUACAUCCAAUUCCACCCUUUCUGAAGCCCUGCCUCCUUCUUCCUCCUUCUCCCCAGUUUCUGUGGCCACCCAUCAGCAGGAGGCAGCAUGUGAUAAAGCAGCCCCAGAAUUGCUGCUCUUUGAGUGGCAGGGUGACCAGCAGGCCCAGCUGUAAGCCGGGAGGUCCAGCAUCCUAGGAAAGCCCUCAAUGCCAGCAGAUUCGGAGGUCAGUCAUCCUUCUUCCAAGUUACCAGCUCACCUGGCCCUGACAUCUUUCUACUCACCCCUCUGGAGCAGAGAACUACUUCCUCCUUGAUCUUUCCUGCUCAUCCAAAGCCCCACACACAGUCAUGAGGACCCUGGGGCCCACCAGUCCCCAUUUGGCCUCCAGUUCUGGCCCUGCACCCUGGAAAAUGCCCAGCCCUCCUCCUGCCUCAGCCCAGGGUGCCCCACACAUUUGAGAAGGGACUGGGGUAUGUUGACGCCAUCCGGGUGGCGGCCCCCAGGUUGAUUUGCCCCAUAUCUGAAAUUGCACCACGGGUGCUAAUGUGUUCCUUCCUGUGGUCCUGGGGCUCUAAAUCCAGGAGCCAUUUCCUAAGCAAUGUUCAUAUUUAUUUGUGAAAUUAUAUGGACUUUUAUAGCACACUUACAAAGAUGAAUAAAUCCCUGUUUGCACAGCCCAAUUUGUUGUUCUAACCUGACACUUCCGUGUCAUAAUCACCUUUCUUUCAGCUGGUUAUGGCCAAGGCUGUUAGGGAUUUAUUAGACGUGUUUUAUAAUGUGCUUUACAAGAUAUUUGUGGAGGCUGUGGCUCUGUUUAUGGGAGAGAGGGGGAGGGAUGGAGGGAAGGGGGCAGAGAGAGAGAAGAGCAUGUAACUUGGUGCAUCUGAGAUGAGUUUAGUGGGAACUUUCCUGCCGCCCCCACUCCCAGCCCCCACCCCUGCUCACCCACAACUUGGAAAACUUUGAUCUCCUACUUCUGCAAUAUUAUUGAUCUUUAGAGAUGGUGGAGGGUAGAAAGAAGACACAAACAUCAAGGAGAUUUUAAGAUAAGACUGGAGAUGAUGGGAUCUCCUUUAUACUGCUGAAAUAUCAGCAAGCUUUGCUAGAAGUGACCUCUCCACUCUCCAGUUCUCUCUUCCAAACAAGGGAAAGAAGAUGAAAGCAGGUGGGAGGCCACCUUGGCCAGAGUCUUCUAAGCCCUUUCUGAGGGCUGGAAAUAGCUUCCCUGGUGAACUGUUCAUCCUUUCCUAGGGAGGCUUAUGUUGAAGAUGGCCAGGGAAACUCAAUUGGUGAGUCCCAGAUCAACUCGAUAAAUUACUUACUGAGAGUCUUGAACGGUGGUACUAAGAUAGGUAGGUCAUGGUUGGCAGCUUCAGGGAGUUUGCCAUUGAGCUAGAAAAGGGUGUUUGCAAGCCACAGACAGCUCCACAUGCUGGUGCUGUCAUGGAGAUAUUUGCAGAAAGCUCCGGGAGAAAAGGAAGGAACAACAGUUUUAUGGGUCAAGGGGAAUCAUAAGUUUUUCAUGCACCCUUGAGGUAGGCCUUCAAGAAAAAUAAAGCAUCCUAAGGAGGCUUUCCAUCAGAGACUGCCAUGUGCAGAUGGCAGUACAAAGGCUUGGAGGCCAUCCCUCAUUCCGUCCUCACUGUUGAGCACUGCCAGGUACCAGGGACUUACUUGGAGACUAGAAGAUCAUAGCAAGCAAGACAGGUAAGUGUUAAAGUCCAAGGGUAUUUCCCUGGGACCUAUUAUCACCCAGGCAAAGACCCAAGAAGACAUAGUGAGUCCAAAGCUCUGUCUAAGGAGCAAGAAUGGGCUGUGCAGAGGCUCAAAACAAGACUGAAAAGGUGGCCAGAAGCCAGCUGACCAUGAUAGAGUGUGUACUUUAUUCCAAGUGAAAAAAGACAUAUCUCAUUUUGCAUUUAUUUGAAGACCCUUGGCCCAGUGCCAGUGAGCACCCUCAGCACCCAGGCCUUUGUUUCUAAUACAACUCUCCAGUCAAAGGGCUCCAGGGCACCUGGAGGAAUGGCAGAUCCUCAGGCAGGGUCAGGGGACAUACCAGAUGAGCCCACAGCAACUUGUUGAGACAAGAAGUAAAAGCGUGCUCAAGGAGUUCCCAUCAUGGCUCAGCAGUAAUAACCCCAACUAGUAUCCAUGAGGAUACAGGUUCAAUCCCUGGCCUUGAUCAUUGGGUUAAGGAUCCUGCAUUGCCGUGAGCUGUGGUGUAAGUAACAGAUGUGGCUUGGAUUCCACGUUGCUGUGGCUCUGGUGUAGACUGCAGCAAUAGCUCUGAUUCGACCCCUAGCCUGGGAACCUCCAUAUGCU
RNAcentral lists this long non-coding RNA (6324 nucleotides) under Sus scrofa (pig). RNAcentral describes it as "lncRNA (ENSSSCG00000055110.1)". Lineage: Eukaryota; Metazoa; Chordata; Mammalia; Artiodactyla; Suidae. The record is from RNAcentral.